RNAcentral lists this ribosomal RNA (406 nucleotides) under uncultured bacterium. RNAcentral's name for it is "partial 16S ribosomal RNA". It matches the Rfam family "Bacterial small subunit ribosomal RNA", at positions 30 to 526 of the family's 1533-position model. The record is from RNAcentral.
AUUGAACGCUGGCGGCAGGCCUAACACAUGCAAGUCGAACGAGUGGCGGACGGGUGAGUAAUGUCUGGGAAACUGCCCGAUGGCGGGGGAUAACUACUGGAAACGGUAGCUAAUCCCGCAUACAAUCGGAUGAUGCCAGCUGGGAUUAGCUAGUAGGUGGGGUAAUGGCUCACCUAGACGACGAUCCCUAGCUGGUCUGCGAGGAUGAACAGCCACACUGGAACUGAGGCACGGGCCAGACGCCUACGGGAGGCAGCAGUGGGGAAUCUUGCGCAAUGGGCGCAAGCCUGACGCAGCCAUGCCGCGUGUAUGAAGAAGGCCUUCGGGUUGUAAAGGACUUUAAGCGAGGAGGCGUUACUCGCAGAAGAAGCACCGGCUAACUCCGUGCCAGCAGCCGCGGUAAUUC